ACUAUAUCCUAUAUAUGUCAUAUAACGAUCGGAAUUGGCAUAACUUUGGUGUUUUUUAAGUUAGAACGAUGGGAUUGGUACAGAUACCAUUUCGCACAAAAUAAUACUCAUACGACCCGUGGCAAUGUAAAAAUUUUUAUACAUAUUUCAGAAUGCUCCCAAUGAGUACAGGAAGUGGAAAAUAUUUUCCAUUUCUUGUGCAAAUCUGAAGGGAGAUUUGCAAAUUGUUUACUUGAAAACGCUUCGCAGUAUCGAAUGCUUCCUGGGAAGAAUUUUCAAUUCCUUCUCGGUCCAUCCAUUCGGAUGGGGAAGAAGCGUUCGAGAAGUUUAAAGAGUUUCAUGACCCACAUAAAGCAGUGACAUUUAUGGCAACGUUAGCUGCUGUGAGGUCUCAAAUAAUGCAUGGAAAACCACGAAAACUGCAAAAUAUAUUUACUAAACUUUGCAUAUGCUCAGACUCACUUUCUGGCAUCGACGCAAUAAAAACCACUAACAACAGCGAACAUUAUAUCUCAAAGGCCCGUAAAUUUCUACAAAAAUACAAUAAUUUAAAUUACUUUGGAUCCCCGGUAUCACGUAGGAAUACCUGGAAACGAAUUUGCAGACGCCCAACCACUUACAACCAUCGAAAACUUAAACACACAGGACAUAUUAAAAUAUAUUAAAAAUACAUAUCUCUCGAAAAUGCAAUUAAACAUAUCCAAAACUUCACGCUGGUACCAAGCAAUUAAUCAUACCCCUAUGUCUAAAAAAUACAAACUUAUAUCACAUCAUUUAAGAUAAUUCAAAUUAAGCCAAAAUAUAUAAAAUAUUAU
This is a long non-coding RNA of Drosophila ananassae, 815 nucleotides long. RefSeq lists it as uncharacterized. The record is from RefSeq and is a predicted model, not a curated record. NCBI's taxonomy places the organism in Eukaryota, Metazoa, Arthropoda, Insecta, Diptera, Drosophilidae. The transcript has 3 exons.